UGGGGAAUCUUCCGCAAUGGACGAAAGUCUGACGGAGCAACGCCGCGUGAACGAUGAAGGUCUUCGGAUUGUAAAGUUCUGUGAUCCGGGACGAAGGCAUCAGUUGAGAACAUUGAUUGAUGUUGACGGUACCGGAAAAGCAAGCCACGGCUAACUACGUGCCAGCAGCCGCGGUAAUACGUAGGUGGCAAGCGUUGUCCGGAAUUAUUGGGCGUAAAGCGCGCGCAGGCGGCCGUGCAAGUCCAUCUUAAAAGCGUGGGGCUUAACCCCAUGAGGGGAUGGAAACUGCAUGGCUGGAGUGUCGGAGGGGAAAGUGGAAUUCCUAGUGUAGCGGUGAAGUGCGUAGAGAUUAGGAAGAACACCGGUGG
This is a ribosomal RNA of 368 nucleotides. It matches the Rfam family "Bacterial small subunit ribosomal RNA", at positions 355 to 715 of the family's 1533-position model.